AUACGUAGGUGGCGAGCGUUAUCCGGGAUUAUUGGGCGUAAAGAGCGCGCAGGUGGUUGAUUAAGUCUGAUGUGAAAGCCCACGGCUUAACCGUGGAGGGUCAUUGGAAACUGGUCGACUUGAGUGCAGAAGAGGGAAGUGGAAUUCCAUGUGUAGCGGUGAAAUGCGUAGAGAUAUGGAGGGACACCAGUGGCGAAGGCGGCUUCCUGGUCUGUAACUGACACUGAGGCGCGAAAGCGUGGGGAGC
Molecule: ribosomal RNA, 247 nt
Filed under: uncultured bacterium
Lineage: Bacteria
Description: partial 16S ribosomal RNA
Rfam family: Bacterial small subunit ribosomal RNA
Source: RNAcentral